RNAcentral lists this long non-coding RNA (435 nucleotides) under Calidris pugnax (ruff). RNAcentral's name for it is "lncRNA (ENSCPUG00000004582.1)". The record is from RNAcentral. Lineage: Eukaryota; Metazoa; Chordata; Aves; Charadriiformes; Scolopacidae.
UUAGAAAGGAGAUAAGAAGAGAUAAGAUAAAGGCACACAAACCAAUUAUAAAUAUAGAGAAAGAUGAAAACCACUGAGAGCCUCCUUUUCUUCCAGUACUAGAAGACAUUUGGAGACUGCUUGUGUAUGGAAUCAGUUCCUGAAAUAAAACCAUCCAAUUUAAUUUUCAACUCUUUGAGUAUCGAGGACACCUGUCUGGUGGUUUGAGAGAAGACAUGGAUCUUACAGAAGAUUUGCACCCUCCUCGAUUAGCAACUGAAGAUACAGCAGUAGCAAUCUUAGCAGGUUAUCAUCAUCUAUUACUCAAGAGCAUGCUGGUUAUCUUAAAUCCCGGUCUCACCACAUUCAGUAUUUCAAGUUGUGGUACCGCCAUCUUUGGAGUCUUGAUCCUACAAUCAAACCUGCAGAUGAAAAAUUCAGUGAAAAGCUGACAGG